AAUUUGCCAUUAAAGCUCAAGCUUUGAGUUCUAAACUCAAACUUGAGCAAAUCCCACAAACAUGCAAUCAAACUAGCUAGAAUCUACUUAAACAAGCAUAAUUAAGCCUCUGCAAAUAAUAGAAAACCACUACCACAAACACAACAACCAAUUUCUUCAUUUUCUUCAAAAUCACAUUUUUAAGCUUAAAAUUCCAAACUUUGAACAACACAACUAGUGUAAUACCCGGAAUUAAGAAAUGGAUUAGCAAAACCCUAACUAGAUAAUUAUGUAUAAUGGAGGAAUUAUAUUAUUAUAUAGUUCAAUAUAUGUGAUUUAUAUGAAUUUUAAUAUAUUAUAGACCCCGUUGGUGAGCCAGGGGCAUUUUGGUAAUUAUGACCCGAGAAGGGUAAAAUGAUGAAAUUAAUUUAAUUACGUGCUUAAUAGAACUAUAUUAUUAUAUAGUAUGCCUGUAUUGUCUUUUCAGGUGUGUUCUGACAGGUUAGCGCGGUAUAGUCACAACCGGGAAUUUUGGGCUGAACCGGGUUCGGGCCCGAAAUGUAAAUUGAAUUGAUUAUUUGGCAUUUUAUUUGAUAAAUGAUAAUCUGAAAUUUAUUUGAAAUUAAUUGAGUAUUGAAUGACUAUUUUACCCUUGUGAGGGUGUAUGUGGGUAUUUAAGCCCUAAGGGCAUUUUGGUCAUUUGACCCCUAAUUACUAUGUUUGGAAAAUGUGAUUUUUGAGGGAAAUAGAUUGAUAAUUUUCUGGUGGCUUCACCCUCUCAACCAAACCCUCUCUCCCUCUCUAACCCUUUCUUGAACUUCAAGUGAAAUUGUUGAGAUAUUGAGUGAAUUACUUGGCUUUGAAGCUUGAAAUUGGAAGGAUUUUAAGCUUGGAAUUGAGGAUUACCGGCACCUGGUCAGGAGCACCCGGGGAUUCGGAAUCUCUGCCUUUACGGGACAGCAGGAAAGGGUAAGUCAGUGGCUGAUCAACCAUGAGUUUGAGGAGCAAGAUGAAGAAUGUACAUGUUCAAGCCAUAUCAGACCAAGCGGGUUAAGGGUCUAUCAGUGAUGAACUUUUGAAUUCUAUUUUGCCGUUUAGGUCGGCUAGAAAUAAAUGACUUGUAAUAGCGUUUGUAAAUAUUUUUGGGAUCCCAACUAUUUUAAAAGUUUUAAAUAUAUUACAAGUUUAUUUUC
This is a long non-coding RNA of Cannabis sativa, 1172 nucleotides long. RefSeq lists it as uncharacterized. NCBI's taxonomy places the organism in Eukaryota, Viridiplantae, Streptophyta, Magnoliopsida, Rosales, Cannabaceae. The transcript has 2 exons. The record is from RefSeq and is a predicted model, not a curated record.